UCGGGUUGUAAAGCACUUUUGUCCGGAAGAAAACCUCUGCCCUAAUACGGCGGGGGGAUGACGGUACCGGAAGAAUAAGCACCGGCAACUACGUGCCAGCAGCCGCGGUAAUACGUAGGGUGCAAGCGUUAAUCGGAAUUACUGGGCGUAAAGCGUGCGCAGGCGGUCCGUUAAGACAGAUGUGAAAUCCCCGGGCUUAACCUGGGAACUGCAUUUGUGACUGGCGGACUCGAGUAUGGCAGAGGGGGGUAGAAUUCCACGUGUAGCAGUGAAAUGCGUAGAGAUGUGGAGGAGUACCGAUGGCGAAGGCAGCCCCCUGGGCCAAUGCUGACGCUCAUGCACGAAAGCGUGGGGAGCAAACAGGAUUAGAUACCCUGGUAGUCCACGCCCUAAACGAUGUCAACUGGUUGUCGGGCCUUCGUUGGCUUGGUAACGUAGCUAACGCGUGGAGUUGACCGCCUGGGGAGUACGGUCGCAAGAUUAAAACUCAAAGGAAUUGACGGGGACCCGCACAAGCGGUGGAUGAUGUGGAUUAAUUCGAUGCAACGCGAAAAACCUUACCUACCCUUGACAUGUACGGAACCUGGCUG
RNAcentral lists this ribosomal RNA (590 nucleotides) under uncultured Burkholderia sp. RNAcentral's name for it is "bacterial SSU rRNA". It matches the Rfam family "Bacterial small subunit ribosomal RNA", at positions 418 to 1003 of the family's 1533-position model. The record is from RNAcentral. Lineage: Bacteria; Pseudomonadati; Pseudomonadota; Betaproteobacteria; Burkholderiales; Burkholderiaceae.